RNAcentral lists this transfer RNA (76 nucleotides) under Curtobacterium sp. MCSS17_016. RNAcentral describes it as "tRNA-Ala". It matches the Rfam family "tRNA". From Rfam's summary of the family: Transfer RNA (tRNA) molecules are approximately 80 nucleotides in length. Their secondary structure includes four short double-helical elements and three loops (D, anti-codon, and T loops). The record is from RNAcentral. Lineage: Bacteria; Bacillati; Actinomycetota; Actinomycetes; Micrococcales; Microbacteriaceae.
GGGCCCGUAGCUCAAUUGGUAGAGCGCCGCUUUUGCAAGGCGGAGGUCGAGGGUUCGAUUCCCUUCGGGUCCACCA